AUAUUAUACAUCCCAUAUUGUCUUUGAAGUUGCUUGCUCCGUUAUAGCUUGAAAGUUCUUUGGAUCCAUCAACAAGCCUUUAUUGGAUAUAACAUAUCUAAGAACUUUUAUUUUUUACUGAUAGAAUAUAUAUUUUUAAAAUUUGGCAUAUAAUCUUACAUUUUAUAACUUUUUAAGACUAAUUGCAUAUAUUCUUUGUAUUCUUCAUGAGACUUAGAGUAGAUUAAGAUAUCAUCAAGAUAGUAGAUAAUAAAUUUAUUUAAGAAUUCUCAAAAAAAAUAUUUUUUAAAUAUUAAAAUAUAACUAAAAUAUUUUUCAAUCCAAAAUACAUGAUAUUACAUUCAAAAUUCAUACUUUGUCCAAAAUUCUAUCUUCCGUUCUUUAAUCUAUAAUAAAUUGUAUGCUCAAUGGAGAUCUAUUUUGGUAUAGAUCUUAGCUUGAUUGAAUUGUUUCAAAAGCCUUGAUAUCAAUAGUAAUGGAUUAUGUUUUUUCA
Molecule: long non-coding RNA, 493 nt
Filed under: Physcomitrium patens
Lineage: Eukaryota; Viridiplantae; Streptophyta; Bryopsida; Funariales; Funariaceae
Description: long non-coding RNA (PPAT_LNC009279)
Source: RNAcentral